RNAcentral lists this long non-coding RNA (3078 nucleotides) under Sus scrofa (pig). Its description in RNAcentral is "lncRNA (ENSSSCG00000058810.1)". Lineage: Eukaryota; Metazoa; Chordata; Mammalia; Artiodactyla; Suidae. The record is from RNAcentral.
CCGCCGCCUCUGCGCGCCCAGUACUUUUUAUGCACCACACUCACCGCCUCCUUCGCUCUGCGUCCUGAAAAGUGCGACUGGUCUCCGAAGGAAUCUCCAUGGAAAGUAGAGACCAGAAAGGGGUGUGGAUGUGUGUGUGGACGCCAGAUGGGUGGGUGCGAGUGUGGCCGGUUGCUCAGGAACCUGGCUAACUUUCCAGGUCCGUUUCCUGGGGAUUCGGGCAGCUCCCCCCACCGCUGCCCCCAGGCAGGCGCAGGGGCAGGGGCAGGAGCAGGAGCAGAGAUCUGAACAGGUGCGUCUCAGAUCUUGGCGACGGUGCCUCCUGCCAUCUGUGCCCUGCGCACUCCUUGCGCUGCCUCACUCAAACUUUCCUCUUGAGUUUUCCUUAAUGUGUUUUAUUUGGGGGGUGAGAGGGGGAGGGACCAGACGCGGGAAUUGGGCAAGUGGGGAGGUCGAGGGGGCAGAGGUAGCAGGGGAAGGAAGCGGAACUUUUCUCCAUCCUUUAAUAAGCCGCAUUACCACUUUGCUUGGGUCCAAUGCGAGAAUGCCCCCUCGCCCAGCUCCCCUGUGGAUCCCACCCAUUGGGGCCCCGGCUGGGUGGUACUCAGCGGGGAGCCCAAGGUGGCUGGCGGGACCGGGAAGGGGAUAUCCGAAUGAGAAAGGACCCGGACCCCCUACGCACCACACCCGGUUGGCCCGGCGGGGUGCCUGAGAGAGGCUGGAAGCCAGGGGCCCGCCGGGGCUCGGCUUACUUUCCUGGAGGGGAUGGGGGGUGAAAGGCGUGGAGGGGUGGGGGUGGGAUGGGAGAAGCCACCGCGGGCAGGAAGGAGGCAGGUGCUGGACGGGAGGUGGACUGCUCCAAACAAAGCGGAUAAACUCCCCGCUCCGCUGGGCCUGCCUGCCUGGCCUCAGAGCAGCCGGCCGGUGGGGGGGGGGGGGGUCUCCCGGGAUUUUCAGCUCCGGGACUCUCUCCCAGCGGUUCUACGGAGCAGGGUGUGAGGAUCUCCGUACAGACAGCAGCGCGUGGCUCUUUUCGUAGUUUUGUUUUUAGCUUAGAUCAGCCUUAAACUGAGUAACAAUUUCUCUUUCUCCGACCUGAGAACAAAACUUUUCAGCGAGCACGCUGGGCGCUGAGGUCCUGCGGCCACCGUCGCCGCGCUUGUCAGCCCAGGCGGAGCGACCCUUUCUGCCCGGAGACCAGCCCCGCCACCGCGCUCGCGAGGCUCUGGCCGUCCCCCUCCCCAGCCCCGGGCUUUUCAGGGCUCAUCCUGAGCGUUUCGCCUUUGUGCUUGAUAAUGGAAAGCCUUUUCUUCCAGGGCACAUCAAACUUGGGCAGAGAGCUUCCGUGUGGCCCCCGAGUGAGGCCGCCCGGGGCGAUGAGGCCAUCUGAGGGGAUGCCCGGACUCUUCCUCCACUCCAGGAGACCCUCCAAGUGCUCCAGUCCCGGGUGGACCCCGGCCAGCCAGCGCCCGUGGGAACCCCGAAGUAGCUGGGGCUUUGGCUGCCCAGAGGCAGGGGAAGAGCUCUCGCUUCUGUUCAGAACAUGUUCACUCGGGCCCUGGCCGCGGUUCCAGGGGAGGACCAGGGCCUGAGCCCUGACCCAGCCACGCGUCACACCACUCGGAAGCGUAGAGUGGGGAAGCUUGGAAUGGCACUCAGGCCUGCCGGGCCAGGCGGUCAGUCCGGGGUCUCUGGCCUAUGCCACCUCCUGCCCAGGAGCAGCUCAGAGGUGCUGUCUGCCCAUGGGCUCUCUCUGCCCACGAUGCCCACCAACCAAGUCUCGCCUCUUGCUUCCGCUCCGGACUCUGCUUGAAGGGGAAAGGGGAAAGAAAGGAAAAAUACAGAGAAAAAAGGGCGGGCUGGGGGGAAGCGGCGUGUAGGCUGGAGGGAACAGAGCAGGCAGGGGUGCGGGUCUCCUCCUCUGCCCGGCUCCGGGCUUCUUCCUGCAAAUGGAAAGGGAGCCAAAGGGGGAAAGGCAGAAAGAGCGUGGAGGAAAAAGGAUGCAAGCGUCUUACGUGCCUGGCCUUUCCGACCCGUGCAAACCUGGCGAAGGCGGCGUGGGUUCGCUUGCCGUACACCGGGGAGUGCGGGAAGGCCGAGGUCGGGGCAGCGCCUCACUGCCAGUGACAGACGGGGCUGGGCGCCGAGCGAGCUAGCGAGGGCACACACCUGUUGUGCAGGUUGCGUAGUGUGCGGCGGCCGAGCGGCUGCGACUGGAGAUGCAGAGCCCUCCCUCCCAAACCCCAGGCCCGCUGUCCUGGGACCGGGAGGGCCUGGCUGUCCCGCGCCGGCCCUCAUGCAGGAACCCUGCGAUCUGGGAGCUGGGUGGCUACCCGCCGAAGUGGUUGCACGCGGCGACGGGCCCCGGGUCACCCUCAGGGCAGGGCUGUUCAGGGGCACGAGGUCCGUGGACGUUGAUUGAAGGCAGCCUCUUCUGAGCCCCUGCCUCAUGGGUCCUGCCUGGCCGCCGACCAGGGCGCGUCACACUUAGCGGGUCUUCCCCGGCCGGCGCCUUGGUUCCCCAAAGUUACAAACAGAUGUUCCAAGUGGAGGUCGUUGGGAACCAAAGUAUUCUUUAUGCAAAGCCACCGCGAGCUGGAGGGAGAGGUCAGGCCGAGGACUGAUGGGUACAGCUCUGCACUGGCCCUAAGUUUAUGUAGGUCUCGCCUUCACUUCUUCUCCCUCUGUUUUCCCUGAAAGAGUUGGGUUUUCCAGGUGAAUACUCUUGGCGGCUGAAUUGUGCCCGCGCUCGCUGAGCUGCAGCCCUGCGGCCCCUCACUCUCCGACAGGCCGGUUGGUCUCGGCUUCUUAUCCGCUGGCCAAGCCGGGCCUGAAUCCGGAUCCAAACCUGGGAGCGGCCCCCGGCCACUUCUAAAUCGCUGGCGUUGACCCCAGCCUUCUGCUUCCUGAGCUCGUGCUUCUGGUGCUCAGAAUUUCUGCUGGAGCAGAGUUUCCAGAUACCACAAAAAAAAAAAAAAUCAUUUGUUCUAUUAUUUUAAUUCUUGCCUUUUGGAAACGGUACAUAGACCACAAAAAUGUCACCUGUUGUAAUAAGCAGAGGAGUGUGGUGCGUGAGUU